This 254-nucleotide ribosomal RNA is filed under the name uncultured bacterium. RNAcentral describes it as "partial 16S ribosomal RNA". It matches the Rfam family "Bacterial small subunit ribosomal RNA", at positions 524 to 776 of the family's 1533-position model. The record is from RNAcentral.
UACGUAGGGCGCAAGCGUUGUCCGGAAUUAUUGGGCGUAAAGAGCUCGUAGGCGGCCAACUAAGUCAGACGUGAAAUCCCUCGGCUUAACCGGGGAACUGCGUCUGAUACUGGAUGGCUUGAGGUUGGGAGAGGGAUGCGGAAUUCCAGGUGUAGCGGUGAAAUGCGUAGAUAUCUGGAGGAACACCGGUGGCGAAGGCGGCAUCCUGGACCAAUUCUGACGCUGAGUGAGCGAAAGCCAGGGGAGCAAACGGG